GAUCCCAUACAAUUUUAUUGAGGAUGUAUCUUCUUAGAAGAACCAGAAGCAGCAAUAUAGCUUCUUCUAUGUUGUUUCUAGGUAUGAAGGAACCUUCUGCCUGCGCACGAAGAUUUGGAGGAGCUGCAUCAGUGCCACUGUAUAAGAGAAAUAUAGCAUACUCCUUUUCUAUUUUGCUUCUCGUUUCCACGUCAAGAUUCCAACAAUAAAGCAGGGCCCUUCUAUACGACAAAAUUGCUUCUUGAGGAGCACAAGCUAGCUUCCACAGCUCAGGAAGUAACUCCACUGCCUUGUUCAACGUUUCCAACAAUUUGCAAUCAGUAGAAAAGUUUUCAGGUAAGCCAUCUGGCAAAGCAGACUCAACUGUAUCCAGUAUCACUGCACAUGACUGAGCAGCUUCUGUGAACCUCCCAAGAGCCUGCAAGGAUGUUGCUUUGAGUAAAAUGGCCUCAAAGAGAAGACUUACUGCAUGCAUUGACAUAGGUGGGAUAGCAUCACUAAGCGAAUUCCGCCUAGGUACCUCACCUCUUCUUGCGAUGGAAAGUUUUAUCUUGGGAACCACCGCAGCAAUAUCUAUUCCCUCAAAUACAUGAAGAGCAGCCUCAAUGUUACCUUUUUGAUACUCAAGUCGACCUAAUAAUGCUCUUGCUUCCUCAUAAUU
This 661-nucleotide unclassified non-coding RNA is filed under the name Hevea brasiliensis (rubber tree). The record is from RNAcentral. Lineage: Eukaryota; Viridiplantae; Streptophyta; Magnoliopsida; Malpighiales; Euphorbiaceae.